RNAcentral lists this ribosomal RNA (530 nucleotides) under fungal sp. NLR-2013. RNAcentral describes it as "eukaryotic LSU rRNA". The stretch from base 172 to 325 matches the Rfam family "5.8S ribosomal RNA". Lineage: Eukaryota; Fungi. The record is from RNAcentral.
CGUGGUGACCUGCGGAGGGAUCAUUACUGAGUGAGGGCUCCGGCCCGACCUCCAACCCUUUGUGAACCAACUUGUUGCUUCGGGGGCGACCCUGCCGUUCGCGGCGGCGGCGCCCCCGGAGGCCAUCAAACACUGCAUUUUUUACGUCGGAGUCUCAAGUAAAUUGAACAAAACUUUCAACAACGGAUCUCUUGGUACUGGCAUCGAUGAAGAACGCAGCGAAAUGCGAUAAGUAAUGUGAAUUGCAGAAUUCAGUGAAUCAUCGAAUCUUUGAACGCACAUUGCGCCCCCUGGUAUUCCGGGGGGCAUGCCUGUUCGAGCGUCAUUUCACCACUCAAGCCUGGCUUGGUAUUGGGCGUCGCGGGUUUCCGCGCGCCUUAAAGUCUCCGGCUGAGCUGUCUUGAACCCUAGCGUUGUGAAUCAUAUUCGCUAUGGGCGACGGACGGCCGCGGCCGUUAAAUCUUUCAAAGGUUGACCUCGGAUCAGGUAGGGAUACCCGCUGAACUUAAGCAUAUCAAUAAGCGGAGGAA